UCCGCACGUUACGUACGGGUAUUGUAUACGGGCGCAAUUGUACACGGUGAAUUAAACAUUUGAAUACGUCCUUGAAUAUCGUUCGUACACGAAAACGUACACACAUUAAUGUACAUUGUGUCGAAAGAGUUUCGAAGGACCGCGUGUUUGCGUGUGCGUGUCGUACGCGGCUCGGUAAAAAACGUCCGACUUUGUGUGUGUGUGUGUGUGUGUGUGCGUACGUGCGUGCGCGGAGGGGAAAUCAAAUACAAUACGAACGCCGCGUACACGCG
Non-coding RNA from Cinara cedri, 272 nucleotides. Lineage: Eukaryota; Metazoa; Arthropoda; Insecta; Hemiptera; Aphididae. The record is from the annotation of a GenBank genome assembly.